GGGAGUUCUGCUGAGCUGUGCGUUAUCCUGACCGGGAGUGGCGUUGCUGUGAGUACUUCUGCACCAGAGCUCUUGCCUGUCCUUGGCACAGGAGGGGGAAAGCAGAACGGGUGGAAAGGCUUUCCCUCCUGCUUCUGCAAUGCAAAGGCAGAAGAAAAAGACUUCGAGUGUGUGAAUUUAUCGAUCGUACAAUCCUAGAUGAGCUCCAGCAUUAUUUCCAUGGAUUGGAUAACAAAAGGCUUAAAAAUACCUUUUCCAGUUACUACAAGCAAUUGAGUACCUUCACGACAAUGAUGUUUCUCCGUGUUUAAGAGGCAUCACACGGAGACAGCGUAGGAGGGACAUUAUAAAGUGACCCACUUCGGAAGUGGCCACCAUCAUCCGGCUGUGGUAGCUGGAAGCGAAAUGGAAAUGGAGGGACAGAGAAUGUUCUUUCAGAAUUAGGACAUGAUAUGGGAAGCCGACCUCUUCCUAUGCAUUUACAGGGGUAUUAGCCUGUCCAUUUCAGACAUCUGAUUUGUUUAGGUUAGAAGAGUCUGUUUUUCAUCCAAACAGUCAAUGGAGAGAAGCAGAGAUUCUUGGAAAAUGCUUCACAUCACCCCAAUCAGGCAAUAAUUAAACUCUUGAAUCAGACGUUCUAAACUCCUUAUGGAAGAAUGUCUCUGAUGGGAUAGGGAUCCUACCUUCCUCACCUGGGCCUUUUAAUUUAAGAAGCUCCAGACAGGCAGUCUUAAAGUUGGGCAAUACCCCUCAGGUAUGCAGAAGAGGAACGUAUGAAUGUGGGUACAGUAAAAUCAUCUCUGGAAACCCUGCUGGCAGGGAGCCUGACUCCACCUGCGCUGGGCUGCAAAACCCUUGUAUCUUCUGAUGCGCUCAGAGAAGACGUUACGUGUUGGAGGAAGAAUCUGUAGUCAGAGAUGCUGCAUUUUCCCGGCUGGCAAGAAGAUCCAAGUUGAUGAGCUUAUGAUUCUUACCAGAGCUGAAAGCCAAGUUCUUACAAGAAACAAAAUUAAAUUCUUUUUCAAAGCACAGAGGGAAUAACAAAGAUGUAGCACUACCAAAAGAUGAGAAUUGCUGGUUUUAAUGCCUGUCAGAACGGUCCAGGAUUUGGGAAGGUGAGAACUGCUUUUUUUAAAAUAUUUACUGCUACAUAAAAUUGUUAUUGUAAUUACAACACACUGGUGCUGGAUUAGCUGUGUGUCUUCAUGGGGCUGAACCUAAUCGGUAUCGUUGCAGUGGAAAACUGGAUGUUGAUUUCGAGGUGGGAGUAUUGCCAAUAUUAAAUAGAACAAAGUUAGCAGAUUUUUAAUCUGCCGUCUUGUUUUUUGGUAUUUUAGAUGGGACCUCAAUUUGGUGGUUCAUUUGCAUUUGACAAAACAAUCAAGCACAUAGGCACUACAAGUGCAUUGGGUUCAAGCACACGCUUACCUGCUUUUAUAGCUGGACGACUGGACUGUAGGUUUAACCACACUGCUGAACCAGAGACUACACACCUCCAGCUAGAGCAAGUGCAGGGGGGAAAAACGCACGCAGGAUCCAACCUCAAAGACUUCUCAUGUUGAUACUUUCCUACUUUUGCUGUCUAACGGUGUUUGUAUUUUACAGGUGGUUUUAAACACCAGCAUCAAAAACUUCUUCACUUGUUAGACGAUCUUCCAGCUAGGGAACACGGGACAUCCUUUGGGGGUCUGUGCAUUAUUACGGAAUAUUUCUCUUGCAGAUGAUCAUCUGCUGUUUUAUUCUAGGCAUGUUAAGAAAACGCUGGACUGAGUGUUCCAGCUGAUGUUUUGUCAUAGUUUCCAAAAAUAAAAGAAAGUAAAUGAAGAUUGUACGAAAACGCUCGUAAUUGUGGAGUCAGCAAUUGCUGAGCUGACUUACACUUGGAAUAACAGUCAGCAAAAAAACCAACAAAACUUGGCUCAUAGAAGUGCCCUGAACUGGAACAGCCAACAGGAUUAUUUUUAGUUCAGGUUUUAACGUUUUAUCAUUUAAAGGGAAAACAGUUGCCAGAUGAAAAACAUUACGUACAGUUUGAACAAAAGGCAUUUCCUUAUGUGCUAAACUUUAAACAACGGAUUUUUACAGGGCAUGGUUUCUCAACUACCUCUGUUUCUUAAGUUAUCCAGCCCCAGCAUCAUUAACAAAAAUAAAGCGAAUGUGAAAGAGUGAGAAGGGACAUUUUAGCCGAAAGCUACUUUCGGUGUACUUUUACAGUGAUGUGAGGAGGUACUAGAGUUAGUGGUCCACCAUUGCCCAGGAAACCCCUUUACUCCUAAAGAGCGAUUGUAGGCUGUAGCUUGGCGAGCAGGAUGACAGGCGUGAAGGAUUUUAAAAUUUUUAUUUAAUAUUUUUUAUUAUUAAAUAUCUAGUAUUUAAAUAUUCACUGUGAAAUUACCUAGUUAGGCUUCAUAGAGUCUAAUUUUGUAUCUGUUUGUUCUGUAUAAUUAGAAGCCAUAUUUAGCUUUGGCUACAGCCUUUUAUCCCAACAACUAAACGUGUUUCAUCUACAAGUGUUCUGAAACUUUAUUUCAAAUUUGUUUCAAGAGGAAUAUUUGGUACAGCUUGAUUAAUGUUUCUUUUGGCAGCAGCGCAGCCUUAGGCAGCCCAGAGUCAUGUUGUUUGUUUCCAGUCCCACAUCUUUCCCUAAGCUGUGCUGGCGUAAUUGCAUGUGGGGUUGUGCAGUGAACCCGCUCAAGGACUUGAUCUUGACUAAAAUAACCUGUACCAAAGAUGGUUAUUUUGAACUUGGAUCCCUUUCCUGCACGACGGCCUCACGAAGAUGUGGUGGCACCAGUGAGACAGUCGCCUGGGAGGGAAGAGCGAGAGGGGCACAGGGAAAAGAGGGGCUGCUUCACCCAGGACAUGAAACUGCAGCCCCGGCUUUACAAACUGAAACCCCCUACAAUGACUUUGGCCCGUUCAGAAU
Molecule: long non-coding RNA, 2926 nt
Organism: Aptenodytes forsteri (emperor penguin)
Lineage: Eukaryota; Metazoa; Chordata; Aves; Sphenisciformes; Spheniscidae
Exons: 4
Source: RefSeq, a predicted model, not a curated record